Anolis sagrei ordinatus is the source of this 563-nucleotide non-coding RNA. The record is from the annotation of a RefSeq genome assembly. Lineage: Eukaryota; Metazoa; Chordata; Lepidosauria; Squamata; Anolidae.
UAAAACCAAAGUCAUUGAGAAGCAAACUGUCAGAGAUGGAAGUGCAGAUAGCAUGGUGUGUGGCUAUUUCUCUCCUGGUUACAGGAUCCACCGACGGAGAGAUCCAGCAGCCACCAAGUUUCAUUGUGGAGAAGGGAGAACCAGUUCGCUUUCAAUGCAAGCAAAGCAACAACCAUGAUGCCAUGUAUUGGUACCAGCAGCUGCAGGGGAAGGGCCUUCAGCUUCUGUAUUUCUCCAGAGCAAAUAUUCCUGAUUCUGAGAAAAAAGAAACCAAUGAUGGGAGAUUCAGUGCUCAGCGAUUGCAAGAUGAAGAAUUUGACUUAAGCAUAUCCUCUGUUGAGAUGGAGGAUUCAGCUACAUAUUUUUGUGCUAGCAGCUUACACAGUAGUGGCAAGAGUCCUCCUCAGUGUACAAUAACUCUCCUGUCUGUAUAUCUUUUCGGCAGGAAGGAGGAAAGGAGUGAGGGAGGCGGGCAGCUGCCGUGCACUGGAGCAGGCCGCCUGAAGCAGCAGCAGCUGCUGUGCUCCUCCAGCACUACUUGGCUCCCACUUCAGCCUCCCUGA